RNAcentral lists this ribosomal RNA (46 nucleotides) under Tetradium ruticarpum. Its description in RNAcentral is "partial 18S ribosomal RNA". Lineage: Eukaryota; Viridiplantae; Streptophyta; Magnoliopsida; Sapindales; Rutaceae. The record is from RNAcentral.
GAAGUCGUAAAAGGUUUCGUAGGUGAACCUGCGGAAGGAUCAUUGU